RNAcentral lists this transfer RNA (86 nucleotides) under Colletotrichum zoysiae. RNAcentral describes it as "tRNA-Glu". It matches the Rfam family "tRNA". From Rfam's summary of the family: Transfer RNA (tRNA) molecules are approximately 80 nucleotides in length. Their secondary structure includes four short double-helical elements and three loops (D, anti-codon, and T loops). Further hydrogen bonds mediate the characteristic L-shaped molecular structure. tRNAs have two regions of fundamental functional importance: the anti-codon, which is responsible for specific mRNA codon recognition, and the 3' end, to which the tRNAs corresponding amino acid is attached (by aminoacyl-tRNA synthetases). tRNAs cope with the degeneracy of the genetic code in two manners: having more than one tRNA (with a specific anti-codon) for a particular amino acid; and 'wobble' base-pairing, i.e. permitting non-standard base-pairing at the 3rd anti-codon position. The record is from RNAcentral. RNAcentral also lists the same sequence under 1 other name. Lineage: Eukaryota; Fungi; Ascomycota; Sordariomycetes; Glomerellales; Glomerellaceae.
UCCGAUAUGGUGUAGUGGCCAACAUGAUGCCCUCUCAUAGCUUGAGAGGUUAGGCAUAGCCCCGAGUUCGAUUCUCGGUUUCGGAA